CCUACGGGAGGCAGCAGUGGGGAAUUUUGCGCAAUGACCGAAAGGUUGACGCAGCAACGCCGCGUGUAUGAUGAAGGCUUUCGGGUCGUAAAGUACUUUCAGUGGGGAAGAACUGCAUAAUCAGUAACUGGGUUAUGAUUGACGGUACCCACAGAAGCAGCCCCGGCUAACUCCGUGCCAGCAGCCGCGGUAAUACGGAGGGGGCAAGCGUUGUUCGGAGUCACUGGGCGUAAAGAGCUCGUAGGCGGCAGUGUAAGUCGGGAGUUAAAGGCAACAGCUCAACUGUUGUAAGGCUUCUGAAACUACAUUGCUAGAGUGCCAGAGAGGUAUGCGGAAUUCCCUGUGUAGCGGUGAAAUGCGUAGAUAUAGGGAGGAACACCGGUUGCGAAGGCGGCAUACUGGCUGGUAACUGACGCUGUGGAGCGAAAGCGUGGGUAGCAAACA
Molecule: ribosomal RNA, 444 nt
Filed under: uncultured Deferribacteres bacterium
Lineage: Bacteria; Pseudomonadati; Deferribacterota; Deferribacteres
Description: bacterial SSU rRNA
Rfam family: Bacterial small subunit ribosomal RNA
Source: RNAcentral